RNAcentral lists this ribosomal RNA (517 nucleotides) under uncultured fungus. RNAcentral describes it as "SSU rRNA". It matches the Rfam family "Eukaryotic small subunit ribosomal RNA", at positions 209 to 726 of the family's 1831-position model. Lineage: Eukaryota; Fungi. The record is from RNAcentral.
AUUAGAUUAAAGACCAAUGCCCUCCGGGGCUCCUUGGUGAAUCAUAAUAACUUAUCGAAUCGCAUGGCCUUGCGCUGGCGAUGGUUCAUUCAAAUUUCUGCCCUAUCAACUUUCGAUGGUAGGAUAGUGGCCUACCAUGGUGGCAACGGGUAACGGGGAAUUAGGGUUCGAUUCCGGAGAGGGAGCCUGAGAAACGGCUACCACAUCUAAGGAAGGCAGCAGGCGCGCAAAUUACCCAAUCCCGAUACGGGGAGGUAGUGACAAUACAUACUGAUACAGGGCUCUUUUGGGUCUUGUAAUUGGAAUGAGUACAAUCUAAAUCCCUUAACGAGGAGCAAUUGGAGGGCAAGUCUGGUGCCAGCAGCCGCGGUAAUUCCAGCUCCAAUAGCGUAUAUUAAAGUUGUUGCAGUUAAAAAGCUCGUAGUUGAACCCUGGGUCUGGCUGGCCGGUCCGCCUCACCGCGUGCACUGGUCCGGCCGGAUCUUUCCUUCUGGGGAGCCCCAUGGCCUUUACUGGC